This 751-nucleotide ribosomal RNA is filed under the name Bacillus sonorensis. Its description in RNAcentral is "bacterial SSU rRNA". It matches the Rfam family "Bacterial small subunit ribosomal RNA", at positions 32 to 772 of the family's 1533-position model. Lineage: Bacteria; Bacillati; Bacillota; Bacilli; Caryophanales; Bacillaceae. The record is from RNAcentral.
GGCACUGCGGCGGCCUAUAAUGCAGUCGAGCGGACAGAUGGGAGCUUGCUCCCUGAUGUUAGCGGCGGACGGGUGAGUAACACGUGGGUAACCUGCCUGUAAGACUGGGAUAACUCCGGGAAACCGGGGCUAAUACCGGAUGCUUGAUUGAACCGCAUGGUUCAAUUAUAAAAGGUGGCUUUUAGCUACCACUUACAGAUGGACCCGCGGCGCAUUAGCUAGUUGGUGAGGUAACGGCUCACCAAGGCGACGAUGCGUAGCCGACCUGAGAGGGUGAUCGGCCACACUGGGACUGAGACACGGCCCAGACUCCUACGGGAGGCAGCAGUAGGGAAUCUUCCGCAAUGGACGAAAGUCUGACGGAGCAACGCCGCGUGAGUGAUGAAGGUUUUCGGAUCGUAAAACUCUGUUGUUAGGGAAGAACAAGUACCGUUCGAAUAGGGCGGUACCUUGACGGUACCUAACCAGAAAGCCACGGCUAACUACGUGCCAGCAGCCGCGGUAAUACGUAGGUGGCAAGCGUUGUCCGGAAUUAUUGGGCGUAAAGCGCGCGCAGGCGGUUUCUUAAGUCUGAUGUGAAAGCCCCCGGCUCAACCGGGGAGGGUCAUUGGAAACUGGGGAACUUGAGUGCAGAAGAGGAGAGUGGAAUUCCACGUGUAGCGGUGAAAUGCGUAGAGAUGUGGAGGAACACCAGUGGCGAAGGCGACUCUCUGGUCUGUAACUGACCUAGGCCGAAAACUGGGGGGGGAGA